RNAcentral lists this ribosomal RNA (346 nucleotides) under uncultured bacterium. RNAcentral describes it as "partial 16S ribosomal RNA". It matches the Rfam family "Bacterial small subunit ribosomal RNA", at positions 338 to 681 of the family's 1533-position model. The record is from RNAcentral.
CCUACGGGUGGCGGCAGUGAGGAAUAUUGGUCAAUGGGCGCGAGCCUGAACCAGCCAAGUAGCGUGAAGGAUGACUGCCCUACGGGUUGUAAACUUCUGUUAUAAAGGAAUAAAGUGAGGCACGUGUGCCUUUUUGUAUGUACUUUAUGAAUAAGGAUCGGCUAACUCCGUGCCAGCAGCCGCGGUAAUACGGAGGAUCCGAGCGUUAUCCGGAUUGAGUGGGUUUAAAGGGAGCGUAGAGGGGUUGUUAAGUCAGUUUUGAAAGUUUGCGGCUCAACCGUAAAAUGGCAAUUGAUACUGGCAGUCUUGCGUACAGUUGAGGUCGGCUGACUUCGUGUUGUAGCGG